AGUGAACGCUGGCGGUAGGCCUAACACAUGCAAGUCGAACGGCAGCACAGUAAGAGCUUGCUCUUACGGGUGGCGAGUGGCGGACGGGUGAGGAAUACAUCGGAAUCUACUUUUUCGUGGGGGAUAACGUAGGGAAACUUACGCUAAUACCGCAUACGACCUACGGGUGAAAGCAGGGGAUCUUCGGACCUUGCGCGAUUGAAUGAGCCGAUGUCGGAUUAGCUAGUUGGCGGGGUAAAGGCCCACCAAGGCGACGAUCCGUAGCUGGUCUGAGAGGAUGAUCAGCCACACUGGAACUGAGACACGGUCCAGACUCCAACGGGAGGCAGCAGUGGGGAAUAUUGGACAAUGGGCGCAAGCCUGAUCCAGCCAUACCGCGUGGGUGAAGAAGGCCUUCGGGUUGUAAAGCCCUUUUGUUGGGAAAGAAAAGCAGCAGGUUAAUACCCCGCUGUUCUGACGGUACCCAAAGAAUAAGCACCGGCUAACUUCGU
RNAcentral lists this ribosomal RNA (491 nucleotides) under uncultured bacterium. RNAcentral describes it as "partial 16S ribosomal RNA". It matches the Rfam family "Bacterial small subunit ribosomal RNA", at positions 29 to 506 of the family's 1533-position model. The record is from RNAcentral.